Molecule: ribosomal RNA, 540 nt
Filed under: uncultured bacterium
Lineage: Bacteria
Description: bacterial SSU rRNA
Rfam family: Bacterial small subunit ribosomal RNA
Source: RNAcentral
UGAGGAAUAUUGGUCAAUGGGCGAGAGCCUGAACCAGCCAAGUCGCGUGAAGGAUGACUGUCUUAUGGAUUGUAAACUUCUUUUAUACGGGAAUAACAAGAGCCACGAGUGACUCCCUGCAUGUACCGUAUGAAUAAGCAUCGGCUAACUCCGUGCCAGCAGCCGCGGUAAUACGGAGGAUGCGAGCGUUAUCCGGAUUUAUUGGGUUUAAAGGGUGCGUAGGCGGCCUGUUAAGUCAGCGGUGAAAUCUAGGAGCUUAACUCCUAAAUUGCCAUUGAUACUGGCGGGCUUGAGUGUAGAUGAGGUAGGCGGAAUGCGUGGUGUAGCGGUGGAAUGCAUAGAUAUCACGCAGAACUCCGAUUGCGAAGGCAGCUUACUAAGGUACAACUGACGCUGAAGCACGAAAGCGUGGGUAUCAAACAGGAUUAGAUACCCUGGUAGUCCACGCAGUAAACGAUGAUAACUGGGCGUAUGCGAUAUACAGUAUGCUCCUAAGCGAAAGCGUUAAGUUAUCCACCUGGGGAGUACGCCGGCNACGGU